CUUCGGGGCGCACCAGGCGCGAAAACUUUACAAUGCGGGAAACCGUGAUAAGGGGACACCGAGUGCCAGCAUCAUAUGCUGGCUGUCCGGGUGUGUAAAAUACACCCGUUAGCAAGGGCCGGGCAAGACCGGUGCCAGCCGCCGCGGUAACACCGGCGGCCCGAGUGGUGAUCGUGAUUAUUGGGUCUAAAGGGUCCGUAGCCGGUUUGGUCAGUCCUCCGGGAAAUCUGACGGCUCAACCGUUAGGCUUUCGGGGGAUACUGCCAGGCUUGGAACCGGGAGAGGUAAGAGGUACUACAGGGGUAGGAGUGAAAUCUUGUAAUCCCUGUGAGACCACCUGUGGCGAAGGCGUCUUACCAGAACGGGUUCGACGGUGAGGGACGAAAGCUGGGGGCACGAACCGGAUUAGAUACCCGGGUAGUCCCAGCCGUAAACGAUGCUCGCUAGGUGUCAGGCAUGGCGCGACCGUGUCUGGUGCCGCAGGGAAGCCGUGAAGCGAGCCACCUGGGAAGUACGGCCGCAAGGCUGAAACUUAAAGGAAUUGGCGGGGGAGCAC
This 556-nucleotide ribosomal RNA is filed under the name uncultured archaeon. RNAcentral describes it as "bacterial SSU rRNA". It matches the Rfam family "Archaeal small subunit ribosomal RNA", at positions 323 to 879 of the family's 1478-position model. The record is from RNAcentral.